AUGGAAGAAAUGCGAACUUACUUACCUGAGAAAAGUGCAUUGGAUUGUGACGAUGAUGACAGUGGAGGUUCGCCAUUGCAACAGAAGAAGAAAACAUUGAGCCCUGCUAAAACCUCUGACCCUCCCCCGAUCCCUAUCUCUCGUGUCUUCGGUGAGGAUGGCAUGUGGCCGCCGCGUGUAGGACAUCAUCGUCGUGGAAUGGAUCAGCUAGCGACGAGGUCUCCGUCUUCGUCACACGCCUAUCAGUCGUGGGUGCCUCUGCCGCCCGCAGAGGCCUGCUCCACUGCGGAAUGCGGUGCUCAGAGUUAUGAUGCUACUACUCACUUUGAGACAACUGUGACAGGUGUUCUUAACACUUUCGGCAAAAGUGCUGACAUUUCUUCAGCUUUACAUAUGCAUGAGUGA
Molecule: ribosomal RNA, 405 nt
Filed under: Triticum aestivum (bread wheat)
Lineage: Eukaryota; Viridiplantae; Streptophyta; Magnoliopsida; Poales; Poaceae
Description: partial small subunit ribosomal RNA
Source: RNAcentral